GUGUUGGUGGGUGUGGUAGCCCAGCCCUCCGAAGGCAGGGGUUGCUGGUUCGAUCCCAGCCGGGCGCGCCA
RNAcentral lists this transfer RNA (71 nucleotides) under Aquabacterium soli. RNAcentral's name for it is "Aquabacterium sp. SJQ9 tRNA-Arg". The record is from RNAcentral. Lineage: Bacteria; Pseudomonadati; Pseudomonadota; Betaproteobacteria; Burkholderiales; Sphaerotilaceae.